UUGAUAUAACCGACGAUGUAUAUUUACCCACCACAUAAUAUCACUAAGUUGCAACACAAAAAAACAUUUUCUAAGCACAUGAAAGCGUAUUAGUUAAUUUUAUUUGGAUAUCUUAUUCUUACCAGCACGUACACUUGAAAUCAUAUUCACACGCACAACCUUAACUUUCAACAGUACAUGCCGGAUUAUUACACGAUCAACAAUGCAACCAUAGCAUCUAAAAUUACUAGGAAAUGGAAUCUCUAGACGGUUUUGCAGAAAUGAGCACCGAAAUUCCAAACAUGCAUAUUCACCAUUAUUUUCCUUUCCAAGAGAACUCAAAACUCACUUCUGUACCAAUACACUCCUUUUGUCUCACCUUCAUCCUUCUCAACAUAAAUGCAUUCCUUCAUUUCUCUGUACAUGGCCUUAAGAAUCGGAGUUCCAUCAUACUGAUAAUACUCGCCCAAUAUUGGUUUCAUUGCCUCUGUAGCUUCGAGUCCAUGAUAAUGAGGGAUCAUCGAGAAUAUGUGGUGGCAAACAUGAGCAUUACACACAUUAUGAAACACCUUGUUGAGAAUUCCAUAAUCUCUAUCGAUGGUGCAUAGAGCUCCCCUCAACCAGUCCCACUCGGUAGAAUCAUAGUAAGGCAAUGACGGGUGGGUGUGAUUCAAUAUGGUGAUCAACACGAACCAUCCGUUAACAACUAGCAAUGGACCUCCAUACACAAGAAAAACCCAUUCAAAUCCUUUGGCCAAUACCAUACGGUAUAGUCCAUAGAUAACUGCAAGAAUAGCAACAUCAGAAAUAAUGAUUUCCUUACGUUCACGGUCAGAGUAAAGUGGACUAUGAGGAUCAUAGUGGGAAGUCCAUCUUUCAUACUUGUGUCCAGAAACAUUGAACAUCAAGUAUAGAGGAAAACCUAUAAGGAGUGUGGUAAGCCAAACAAGAACUCGGCCAGGUGGGUUAUCGAGGAUUUUGUAAUAGUUUCGGAUAUUGGACUUGAAUCUUGGGACAUAAACCUCAUCAUUUUCAAGGGAUUGGGUGUUGGCAUGGUGACGACGGUGGCUAAUUUUCCAAGAGAAAUAAGGGACGAGGAGAGAGGAGUGCACUACAAGGCCAACAAGGUCAUCAACCCAUUGAUAAUCACUAAAUGCAUGGUGAUCACAUUCGUGGCCGACGACCCAGGCCCCGGUUAGGACACAGCCUUGAACAGCAAUGUAAGCAACCCAGCCCAAAUAGUUGAGGGGACGAGGGAGGAGGUCGAUAUAGUUUGUGGCCACAUAGUACAGGAUGUAGGCCAUGAGGAGAUCCUGAAUAAGGUAUCGGAAAGAGGUGAUAAGGGACUUUUGGAAGCAAUGGGGUGGAACGGCUUUCUUUAAGUCUCCAAUUGUGAAUGGAGGCUUCUCGUGAGGAGCCCGUCGAAGGGCUUCAGCUGCGGUCUUCUUGCCACUAGGCGGAUCCGACAUGCGACCACCUGCACCCAUCUUUCAAACGUUCUGUGCAAAAUUUUUUUUGAAAAAGUAGGGUUAGAACUGGAAUAAUUAAUGUUGUUCAUCAAAAGGUAACAUGGAGACAGAACUUAAAUAUAUGGAAGGACAUGCAUUCUACUAAUUCUACGUAUAUAUGUGGCUAUAUAAUUGUAACUUUGUAAUUAUGUGUUGUGGUGUUGGGGGUAAUUAUUAAGGAGUAAGAACAAACCAGGAAGGUAGAGAAGCUCUUUCUUUGAGUUAGCCUCUCUCUCCUCAAGUCCUCAGUCCUCACUCUCCCCUCUUAAUUCUUCAGUGUUUAUGUUGUGUGCAGAAAAUAAAGUAGGAGUAGAGUUAUUUAUAGCUUCUACUCCGCCCGCCCGCCACAAACAAGUAAGUUGUUUGGACAGACUUGCACGUAAUUGUGGAUUAACAAUACUGCUUCACUAAGGGCGGCCGAUGAAUUUGAAUAUUGGAGUAACAAAAUAAUUUGAUAAUUAAGAAUACUGUUUGCCAGGUCUCUUUUGGCGGGCGCGCCAGCCAAUUGUUUUUACUUAUUUGGGUCGCUUUUUCCCCCGUCAUGUGCGUAUAGCAAAUUAUGCACAUCAUCUCAUUACUAUUCAACCGAGCCUACUAAAAUUAUGCGAAUCACAUUUUUACCUAUUUUAAAAUUUAAAUGAAUUAGACACAUGUUAUAAAUAAAACCUAUAAUUAAUUUUUCAAAUAUUAAAUGCAUAUCUUAAUUUUUAUUUUAAAAAAUAAUAAUAAUUGAAAAGUAGGACUUAUAUAUAGCCUCAGUUAAUAACAUGUUAGAUUGUUGUUAUUUUGAAUGCAAUUAAAAGUAAUAGUCUCUCUAUUUCAUAAAAAUGUAUAAUCCUAUUUGCAACACUUAAUUAUUUUUAAGAUGCUUGUUUUUUUCAUAGUUACCCUGAAAUUUAUUGAUUGUUUACUUUAAUAAUAAUAGUUUGAUAAUGAAACUAAUAAUAAUGAUAAACUUGAGAAGAGAACGGGGUCAUAUUUUCCAAGAUGAGCUGGAGUCAUAUAUACUUCCUGGCGAUGACCCGGGGUCAGCUUAAGAGCCUCGAUGAUACUGCUAUAAGGGCCAUCAGUGGUAGGAUAGGAAUGGAAGGAUAUGCUCAUCUGACAGUCACCAUGAUAUAUAGAAACAAAAACAAUAUCUUUUAUAUUAACAUUGUAUAUAGUACCUAUAUAAUGUGCUUGCAAAGUUAAAUUCUUAUAAAACAGGAACAUUUUUAAUUAAAGCAACAAUUACUAUGGACUCGAUCGAGUGAAACAAAACGAAUCAAAUCUAUAGCGGCUGUAAAUGUCUUAGCUAGUUGUGAUGCGAAAUAAAUUUAUAAGACAAGAAUUAAUAUAUGUGGUUCGAACACAAAUACCCUAGCUACGUCUAUAUCCCAACACGAAUCUCUAAGCUAACUUAGUAAAUAUUAGUCCACAUAAAUAAUUUAGAAGAAAAAACACAAAUUCAAGCUUAACUGAUCAGUUAGUGCUGGAUAACUAUCAAUAAACUGCUAAUUUCGGUAAGAGAAAAACUAUGCCUAUAUACCUCUCUCUAAUUGCGAGACAUUCUUUAAAUAUAGUACAUAACAUGUGUCAACUAUAUUCUUGGUUUUUCUAUGUUUAGGGUUUUAAAAUUUUAAUUUCAAAAAGUAUUUCAAAUAAUGUGUUAUCAUAACAUUAAUUAAUUGAGUAUAUAUCUUAUGUGAUUGACUUUAUCAUAAAUUAUAAUAAUAUCAUAUCAUUUGAGACAAAAAAAAAUUAGUUACUCUUAUAGAAAUUGUCCAAUGAUUGAGGGUAAUCGGUUUGGCUUCUCUCUCUCUCUCUGAAGCCUAGUUCCUUGUCUCAUUAUAAAGUACUUUGAGAAAGGCUAUUCAAUUAAUUUACAAACUUCUUUCAGUUUUUCCCCGACAAAGUAUUUCUUCAAUUCCAAAAUAUAUAAUCACUGUUGAAUCUUUAAAGUCAAAUCAAGACAUUUAACACUUAAAAUUGAUAUUAAAAUUUUAAAUUUUAAUUAAUACAAUGAUAAAUAUUAUUAAUUAUUUAAAAAAUAUAAUAUUUAUUAUUUUAUAAUUUAAAAAUCACCUCAAUUUUGAGUUUGAAAAUGUUUUACAUUUUAAAAAUUAAUAAUGAUUUUAUAAAUUAGAAUAGAAUGAGAAUUAAAAAUGGUAUCCUUACGAAAGAUAAAAACAAUAGGAAACAUACAUUUGAACGCAUUAAAAUAAAGGCAGAAAAGAUUCAGGCUAAAAACUGUAAAAAUGAAGGAAUUAUAUUGAACAUGAGAUUAGGUCUUAAUGUUUAUUACAUAGAUAUUGGAUUUCUUAGUACUCCCUCCGUUCCUUAAUAUAGGUCGUUUUAGACAUGUGCACAAGAAUUAAGGAAAUGAUUGAAAAGCAUUAACUAUAGUAUCAAUUGUCUAUAAUACCCUUCACCUCACUUAUCUCAUAAAUAUGGAUCAAAAGAUUAUGUGGAGUAAUAAGGGGCAAUUUGGAAAAAAUAAUAAUCAAUUCUCCUAGAUAACCACAAACGACAAAUAAUUAAGAAUAUAAAAAAAAAUCUAAAACGACCUACAUAUAGAAAUGGAGGGAGUACGUAGUAAUCAAACGCUUCGCAAUACAAUCCAAGGGGAAAAUACCUGAACACAAAAAACUACAUUUAGGAUAUAUAUAUGAUAUAAUCAACAACGUUAUAUGUUCAUCACAUACAACUAAAUCAACUAGAUUACUAGGAAAUGAAAGACAAAAUAUGCAGUAACAAGUAUUGAUCAGCCUCUUUCUCCAAGGGCUUUUGCCUUUGCUUGCCGGUCAUCUUAUCAAAACUUACUUCUGUACCAAUAGACUCCUUUUGUUUCACCUUCAUCUUUGUCAACAUAAAUGCAUUCCUUCAUUUCUCUAUACAUGGCCUUAAGAAUUGGAGUACCAUCAUACUGAUAAUAAUCUCCCAAUAUGGGCUUCAUGGCUUCGGUAGCUUCCAGUCCAUGAUAAUGUGGGAUUGAUGAGAAUAUGUGGUGACAAACGUGAGCAUUACACACGUUAUGGAAGACCUUGUUGAGGAUACCAUAAUCUCUAUCAACUGUGCAUAGAGCUCCCCUCAACCAAUCCCACUCGGUAGAAUCAUAAUAAGGCAAAGAUGGGUGGGUGUGAUUCAAUAUGGUAAUCAACACGAACCACCCGUUAACAAUAAGCAAUGGACCUCCGUACACAUGGAAAACCCAUGCAAAUCCCUUGGUCAAUACGAGACAGUAUAGUCCAUAAAUAACAGCAAGAAUAGCAACAUCAGAAAUAAUAAUCUCCUUUCGCUCACGGUCAGAAUAAAGUGGGCUAUGAGGAUCAUAAUGGGAGGUCCACCUUUCAUACUUGUGUC
Molecule: long non-coding RNA, 4829 nt
Filed under: Panax ginseng (ginseng)
Lineage: Eukaryota; Viridiplantae; Streptophyta; Magnoliopsida; Apiales; Araliaceae
Description: long non-coding RNA (PGIN_LNC016392)
Source: RNAcentral